Mycena albidolilacea is the source of this 93-nucleotide non-coding RNA. The record is from the annotation of a GenBank genome assembly. Lineage: Eukaryota; Fungi; Basidiomycota; Agaricomycetes; Agaricales; Mycenaceae.
GGUUCGGUGGUGGAUGGUCCACGUCUGUCUCUCAUGUACUGUUAUGACACUGAGUUCAAGCAGAAGACGCCUGUUCGAAUCAGGUCCGAGCCA